GCCUACUUAAUUCAGUGGUUAGAGUAUUGCUUUCAUUCAGCGAGAGUAAUUGGUUCAAAUCCAAUAGUGGAGUA
Molecule: non-coding RNA, 74 nt
Organism: Rhododendron molle
Lineage: Eukaryota; Viridiplantae; Streptophyta; Magnoliopsida; Ericales; Ericaceae
Source: the annotation of a GenBank genome assembly